Molecule: ribosomal RNA, 498 nt
Filed under: uncultured bacterium
Lineage: Bacteria
Description: partial 16S ribosomal RNA
Rfam family: Bacterial small subunit ribosomal RNA
Source: RNAcentral
GAUGAACGCUGGCGGCGUGCCUAAUACAUGCAAGUCGAGCGAACAGACGAGGAGCUUGCUCCUCUGACGUUAGCGGCGGACGGGUGAGUAACACGUGGAUAACCUACCUAUAAGACUGGGAUAACUUCGGGAAACCGGAGCUAAUACCGGAUAAUAUAUUGAACCGCAUGGUUCAAUAGUGAAAGACGGUUUUGCUGUCACUUAUAGAUGGAUCCGCGCCGCAUUAGCUAGUUGGUAAGGUAACGGCUUACCAAGGCAACGAUGCGUAGCCGACCUGAGAGGGUGAUCGGCCACACUGGAACUGAGACACGGUCCAGACUCCUACGGGAGGCAGCAGUAGGGAAUCUUCCGCAAUGGGCGAAAGCCUGACGGAGCAACGCCGCGUGAGUGAUGAAGGUCGUCGGAUCGUAAAACUCGGUUAUUAGGGAAGAACAAAUGUGUAAGUAACUAUGCACGUCUUGACGGUACCUAAGCAGAAAGCCACGGCUAACUACGUGC